GAUGAACGCUGGCGGCGUGCCUAAUACAUGCAAGUCGAGCGAACGGACGAGAAGCUUGCUUCUCUGAUGUUAGCGGCGGACGGGUGAGUAACACGUGGAUAACCUACCUAUAAGACUGGGAUAACUUCGGGAAACCGGAGCUAAUACCGGAUGAUAUUUUGAACCGCAUGGUUCAAAAGUGAAAGACGGUCUUGCUGUCACUUAUAGAUGGAUCCGCGCUGCAUUAGCUAGUUGGUAAGGUAACGGCUUACCAAGGCAACGAUGCAUAGCCGACCUGAGAGGGUGAUCGGCCACACUGGAACUGAGACACGGUCCAGACUCCUACGGGAGGCAGCAGUAGGGAAUCUUCCGCAAUGGGCGAAAGCCUGACGGAGCAACGCCGCGUGAGUGAUGAAGGUCUUCGGGUCGUAAAACUCUGUUAUUAGGGAAGAACAUAUGUGUAAGUAACUGUGCACAUCUUGACGGUACCUAAUCAGAAAGCCACGGCUAACUAUGUG
This 497-nucleotide ribosomal RNA is filed under the name uncultured bacterium. RNAcentral describes it as "partial 16S ribosomal RNA". It matches the Rfam family "Bacterial small subunit ribosomal RNA", at positions 28 to 507 of the family's 1533-position model. The record is from RNAcentral.